CGGAUGGGCAUGCGGCGCAUUAGCUAGUUGGCGGGGUAACGGCCCACCAAGGCGACGAUGCGUAGGGGUUCUGAGAGGAAGGUCCCCCACACUGGUACUGAGACACGGACCAGACUCCUACGGGAGGCAGCAGUGAGGAAUAUUGGUCAAUGGGCGAGAGCCUGAACCAGUCAAGUCGCGUGAGGGAGUACUGCCCUAUGGGUUGUAAACCUCUUUUGUCGGGGAGCAAAAGCCGGACGUGUCCGGCUGUGAGAGUACCCGAAGAAAAAGCAUCGGCUAACUCCGUGCCAGCAGCCGCGGUAAUACGGAGGAUGCGAGCGUUAUCCGGAUUUAUUGGGUUUAAAGGGUGCGUAGGCGGCCUGCCAAGUCAGCGGUAAAAUUGCGGGGCUCAACCCCGUACAGCCGUUGAAACUGCCGGGCUCGAGUGGGCGAGAAGUAUGCGGAAUGCGUGGUGUAGCGGUGAAAUGCAUAGAUAUCACGCAGAACCCCGAUUGCGAAGGCAGCAUACCGGCGCCCGACUGACGCUGAGGCACGAAAGUGCGGGGAUCAAACAGGAUUAGAUACCCUGGUAGUCCGCACAGUAAACGAUGAAUGCUAGCUGUCCGGNGGGAUUGACCCCUGGGNGGCACAGCGAAAGCGU
This 640-nucleotide ribosomal RNA is filed under the name uncultured bacterium. RNAcentral's name for it is "bacterial SSU rRNA". It matches the Rfam family "Bacterial small subunit ribosomal RNA", at positions 222 to 860 of the family's 1533-position model. The record is from RNAcentral.